Ahaetulla prasina is the source of this 580-nucleotide long non-coding RNA. RefSeq lists it as uncharacterized. NCBI's taxonomy places the organism in Eukaryota, Metazoa, Chordata, Lepidosauria, Squamata, Colubridae. The record is from RefSeq and is a predicted model, not a curated record. The transcript has 3 exons.
UUCUGGAUUAUCAGCAGGAGACCCUGAGCAUCUGCUCACAGUUCGUUCUGAACUAUUCUGCAUUUUCCUGUAACUUUGCUCUUCCCGGAGGCUGCUGAGAGUGCAAAGAGACAACUCAUGUUUGAACGACAGAAUAUUGAAAAGAUGUUUUCCAACUACCUGGAUAGUCAGGAAUGGUGAUUUAUUGGAAAAGAAAAAAGAUAUCUACUGGCCAGAUAUCCAGUCCCAAGGCCUAUCAUUACUUGCCAACUAUUGCUGGAGCACUUACAGACCUAUUGUUCAUAUUCAUAUUAACAUCGGUAUGCUUUUCAUAUGGUACAUUCUGAAAUGUCUAGAGCACUAAGCUAAUUUCAUGGGAUCACUUUUAGUUUAUGAGGCAUGGGAGAGAGAUAUUUGUAUAAACUCUGACAGAAGAUUUCCUGUGGAAAAGAGACAGAGGGAGCAUUACUUGGUUGAACAUGCUUAAUCACUCAGCAACUUUUUGAUAUUGUUAACCACAAUACCAACUUCCUGGAGGUUAUGCAUUUCCUGGUCAUAACAAUGUAAUAGAUGAAAAUGAAUCUUGGAAGAUGAAUCAGGU